AUCAAAGACUCAAGAUAGCUCUUGUAUCUAUUUUCGCCUUUUUUUCUUAUCGGUAGUUGUUGUUUAUGGCAUGGAUCACCUGCACCCUUAGAUAAUAUUGAACCAGAGAUUAAUUGUUCUUUUAUUCUUUUUUUUUUAAUUUACUUUUCUCAGAUCUACGAAAGAGAGAGAGAGAAGAGAUGGAGUUCAAGGUAGAGAAGGAGAACGCGACGGCUGUUCGUCACCACCACCACCACCACCACCACCACCAUCGUUCGUCACUACCACCUUCGCUUCUCAGAUACGUCUUCACCGGAGUCGCCAGAACCACCGUCACGCUCGUCAUAACCAACAUCGCUCGUUCCCACAACCACCGCCAUCUCUCCCAUCAGCCAUCGCUCGUCACCACCACCAUCACUUCUCAGAUCCGUCUUCACCGGAGUCGCCACCACAACCGUCACGCUCCUCAUAACCACAAUCGCUCGUUACCACCACCACCAUAUUCAGAGGCUGUCUCAUUGGAAACGUUACAAUGAUCCAUUGUGUCUGUCUUUGUGUUGUGGUUACUCUCUCUCCCAUCUCUAUGUUUGGUUCUGUCGCCAUACAGAGAAGCUUUCUCAUAGGAAAUGAUUGCUUGUGUUUCUCUGUGUUUGUGGUUACUCAUAGACAACGUUACAAUGAUCGAUUGAUUUUGAGAAAGUGCUCGUAAGAGACUCAGCUUGAUCUUUGAAAAGGUCUCUGCUUGUUUCAAUUUUAGUUAGAAACCAGUUGGUUCACUGAAAAACCAUCUCUGCUUGAUCUGAAGAAUGUGUUUUAUUUUUUGUUUCACCGGCUCCAUAUUUCUCUAUAUAGUUAUGAUCUUUACAUCUCUUCAAAGUUCUAAAGGUUGAAUCUUUUCUUCUUGUUAUUUUGAUAGGGGGUAAAGUCACAGCUGCUUAAGGGUUUAACGCUGGUGGUAUGUAUGAUAGGUUACGAGAUUCAGAGGAGAAGCCUGAUCUCGGUAUUGUAACCUGUGAUGUCAAUGCUGUAGCUGCAGAAUGGAUAUUAAUCUCUGAUUUUCUAAAAAGGAUGUUGCUGGAGAUCCAUUCUCCUGAAGAAAUAUUGAGAGUCAAAGAAGAUUGACAAGUACAUGUACCAUGAUAUGUACAUGCGUGUUAAGCUAUAUAAUUGAACACAUCUUACAAGAAGCUGGACAAGGCACAAGUAGCAGAUGGUGGCGAGUUUGAAGGGUAGAUGGUGGAGGAGUUGUGGAAGAAGAAGAACAGUGAGGAGGCGGUCUGAAGUUUGAAGGGAUGAUUAUGAAGGGUUAUUAGUUGUAAAUUGAUAGGUGUUAAUGGCUUGUGUAAA
This is a long non-coding RNA of Brassica oleracea var. oleracea, 1326 nucleotides long. RefSeq lists it as uncharacterized. The record is from RefSeq and is a predicted model, not a curated record. The transcript is spliced from 3 exons. Lineage: Eukaryota; Viridiplantae; Streptophyta; Magnoliopsida; Brassicales; Brassicaceae.